Molecule: long non-coding RNA, 1028 nt
Filed under: Homo sapiens (human)
Lineage: Eukaryota; Metazoa; Chordata; Mammalia; Primates; Hominidae
Description: novel transcript
Source: RNAcentral
UGUUUUUACUUGUACAUUGUCAUUUUCUAUACCUAAUUCCAAGCCUUCACAAACUUAAAGAUAAGGGUCCUUUAGACCAGGGGUCCUCAACCUCCAGACCACAGAUGGGUAAUAGUCCUUGGACUGUUAGGAACUGAGCUACACAGCAGGAGAUGAGGGGCAGGCAAGCAAGCAAAACUUCAUCUGUACUGCAUUUACAGCAGCUCCCCAUUGCUCGCAUUACGGCCUGAGCUCACUGCCUGUCAGAUCAGUGGCAGCAUUAGAUUCUCACAGGAGCAUGAACCCUAUUGUGAGCUGCGCAUGCAACGGAUGUAGCUUGCACCCUCCUUAUGAUAACCUAAUGCCUGAGGAUCUGUCACUGUCUCCCAUCACCCCUGGAUGGAGCCAUCUAAUUGUAGAAAAACAAGCUCAGGGCCCCCACUGAUUCUAUAUUAUGAAAUCAUUAAAUCCUGCAAUUCCAGGAGUCAUUUUAUUCUCCAUGGAGCUCCAGCAUUGCUGUCAGAGCAGUUCCUCCUCAUGGCCGAUUGGGGAGUUCAGAGCCUGUGCAUUAAGCUGUCAGGUUGGGAGAGCAUUGAGGAGUCAUCUUCAUGCCAAAUCAUCUUAUUUAGCCAAAUACCAUUGAAACAUUUGAGUUCUUUCCUGGACCUGGACCUGGCCAAAUACCUAAAGCCAUUAACAGAUCUUCUCCCUCAAAGAAGGCAUGUAAAUGUUUUACAUUAUUGUCAAACUGUAAACAAUAAUGAACCAGCUCUUUAGGUAAAAGAAGUUAAACAAUACUACUACUAAUAAUAAUUUGCCUCUAUAAAGGGACUUUUUCCAAACUCUCGAGGAACCAGCUGUAGCUGGGUAGCAUCCUUCCCUCAGGAGUCUGAGAACACAUUCUGAGGGGCCCCUGUUCUGUGCUUCUAGGUUCUGAUAAUUCAACCACUACUUCUUUCCCCAAUCUAGGGAGGUAGAUGCCUCCUACAGUUACUAUUAGUAGUAACCUCAUCAGGGUUUUUUUGGUUUAUUUUUUGUUUGUUUACAAA